CUACUUGCUUCGACAGUACAAAUACUAAAAUUGGAACGAUACAGAGAAGAUUAACAUGGCCCCUGCUAAAGGAUGACACGCAAAAUCGUGAAGCGCUCCACAUGUUU
Molecule: small nuclear RNA, 107 nt
Organism: Galleria mellonella (greater wax moth)
Lineage: Eukaryota; Metazoa; Arthropoda; Insecta; Lepidoptera; Pyralidae
Source: RefSeq, a predicted model, not a curated record